UUGCUUUGACUGCACAUACACUAAAACUGGAAUGAUAUAGAGAAGGUUAGCAUGGUUCCUGCCAAAGGAGGACACACAAAUUCAUGAAGCACUUCUUAUUUUU
This is a small nuclear RNA of Nannospalax galili (Upper Galilee mountains blind mole rat), 103 nucleotides long. NCBI's taxonomy places the organism in Eukaryota, Metazoa, Chordata, Mammalia, Rodentia, Spalacidae. The record is from Ensembl.